UGCACAGGGGCAGGAAGUAAAUCAGCAGAGCCACGGAUACGUAGUAACUGCAGGAAGAAUCAAAACAGAGAGGAAACCAUCAUGAAAGAAGAGACUGUGGGGUCAAAGGUCAACUUCUGUCCAGCAACCACUGUAUUUUUUGGUCGCCUUGGGGUGGCGAACAGGUCUACGUCAUCUUUGGAAGAAUCAACAAAAGUAAUCCAAGAUGGCGGCUUCUUUCCAAGGUCAAAGUUCAAUGAAAUUUCAGUUGUUGAGGACUUUACCUGGUGGAGGCUGUGAAGGAACUUCUAAUCCAGACAAAAACCGGACUCUGAAAGGUUCAAGAGUUCGGGUCACUUCCGCCGCUCUGGGACUCUGGGAUUCUUCCAGAACCACAGGGACCGUCUCCUCCGGAUCGUCUGAGGGUUCUGACGAUGGAAAGCUCCUUUUCAUUCCUGCAGAUUCUUCCAGCCUGAAUCUUAACAGGAACAGACGUGUUUGAAAAUAACCUCAGGGGAGAAGGGAUUAUCGCAGGAGGAAGCAGCGGGGAACAGAACCACCACCUAAUGAAGGAGGCGGCGUCCCAACGGUGUCCCUGAGGACACGAGCGGCGCCGUGCAAAUGUUUACGAGGACAGAAAAUGGAACCUCCUGUUGAAGCUCCGCCUUCUGUCCUUCUGUGGAAUGGACUCAAAUGGAGGAGAAAAUAAAAAAAAACUUUUCUUGGAGCAAUCAUCACAAAAGCUCACACCAGUGACAAAAGAAGGAAGUGAAGCCCCUCCCCCACACCAACCUGUCGAGGGCGAUGGCCGUCAUGGAGUAAAUGCUGGCGAAAAUGGCGGCGAUGGGGAAGAAGUUGUGGAAGCGGCAGUAAACGGCGCCAAAGU
This is a long non-coding RNA of Oryzias melastigma (Indian medaka), 865 nucleotides long. RefSeq lists it as uncharacterized. The transcript is spliced from 6 exons. The record is from RefSeq and is a predicted model, not a curated record. NCBI's taxonomy places the organism in Eukaryota, Metazoa, Chordata, Actinopteri, Beloniformes, Adrianichthyidae.